AAACUUGAGAGUUUGAUCAUGGCUCAGAAUGAACGCUGGCGGCAUGCCUAACACAUGCAAGUCGAACGAAGCCUUCGGGUUUAGUGGCGCACGGGUGCGUAACGCGUGGGAAUCUGCCCCUUGGUUCGGAAUAACAGUUGGAAACGACUGCUAAUACCGGAUGAUGACGUAAGUCCAAAGAUUUAUCGCCGAGGGAUGAGCCCGCGUAGGAUUAGGUAGUUGGUGUGGUAAAGGCGCACCAAGCCGACGAUCCUCAGCUGGUCUGAGAGGAUGAUCAGCCACACUGGGACUGAGACACGGCCCAGACUCCUACGGGAGGCAGCAGUGGGGAAUAUUGGACAAUGGGCGAAAGCCUGAUCCAGCAAUGCCGCGUGAGUGAUGAAGGCUUAGGGUUGUAAAGCUCUUUUACCCGGGAUGAUAAUGACAGUACCGGGAGAAUAAGCUCCGGCUAA
RNAcentral lists this non-coding RNA (452 nucleotides) under Sphingomonas sp. Ant20. RNAcentral's name for it is "Bacterial small subunit ribosomal RNA". It matches the Rfam family "Bacterial small subunit ribosomal RNA", at positions 1 to 500 of the family's 1533-position model. The record is from Rfam by way of RNAcentral. Lineage: Bacteria; Pseudomonadati; Pseudomonadota; Alphaproteobacteria; Sphingomonadales; Sphingomonadaceae.